This 76-nucleotide transfer RNA is filed under the name Nitrospira sp. RNAcentral describes it as "tRNA-Ala". It matches the Rfam family "tRNA". From Rfam's summary of the family: Transfer RNA (tRNA) molecules are approximately 80 nucleotides in length. Their secondary structure includes four short double-helical elements and three loops (D, anti-codon, and T loops). The record is from RNAcentral. Lineage: Bacteria; Pseudomonadati; Nitrospirota; Nitrospiria; Nitrospirales; Nitrospiraceae. RNAcentral also lists the same sequence under 18 other names.
GGGGAAUUAGCUCAGCUGGGAGAGCGCCUGGUUUGCAACCAGGAGGUCACCGGUUCGAGCCCGGUAUUCUCCACCA